This 269-nucleotide ribosomal RNA is filed under the name uncultured prokaryote. Its description in RNAcentral is "partial 16S ribosomal RNA". It matches the Rfam family "Bacterial small subunit ribosomal RNA", at positions 524 to 792 of the family's 1533-position model. The record is from RNAcentral.
UACGGGGGGAGCAAGCGUUGUCCGGAUUUACUGGGCGUAAAGAGCGUGUAGGCGGGGUGAUAAGUCGGUGGUGAAAUGUCUCGGCUCAACCGAGAACCUGCUAUCGAUACUGUCACCCUUGAGUACGGAAGAGGGAAGUGGAAUUCCUGGUGUAGCGGUGAAAUGCGUAGAUAUCAGGAAGAACACCAGUAGCGAAGGCGGCUUCCUGGUCCGUCACUGACGCUGAGACGCGAAAGCGUGGGGAGCAAACAGGAUUAGAUACCCGCGUA